This 497-nucleotide ribosomal RNA is filed under the name uncultured bacterium. RNAcentral's name for it is "partial 16S ribosomal RNA". It matches the Rfam family "Bacterial small subunit ribosomal RNA", at positions 28 to 507 of the family's 1533-position model. The record is from RNAcentral.
GAUGAACGCUGGGGGCGUGCCUAAUACAUGCCAGUCGAGCGAACAGACGAGGAGCUUGCUCCUCUGACGUUAGCGGCGGACGGGUGAGUAACACGUGGAUGACCUACCUAUAAGACUGGGAUAACUUCGGGAAACCGGAGCUAAUACCGGAUAAUAUAUUGAACCGCAUGGUUCAAUAGUGAAAGACGGUUUUGCUGUCACUUAUAGAUGGAUCCGCGCCGCAUUAGCUAGUUGGUAAGGUAACGGCUUACCAAGGCAACGAUGCGUAGCCGACCUGAGAGGGUGAUCGGCCACACUGGAACUGAGACACGGUCCAGACUCCUACGGGAGGCAGCAGUAGGGAAUCUUCCGCAAUGGGCGAAAGCCUGACGGAGCAACGCCGCGUGAGUGAUGAAGGUCUUCGGAUCGUAAAACUCUGUUAUUAGGGAAGAACAAAUGUGUAAGUAACUAUGCACGUCUUGACGGUACCUAAUCAGAAAGCCACGGCUAACUACGUG